Molecule: long non-coding RNA, 749 nt
Filed under: Sorghum bicolor (sorghum)
Lineage: Eukaryota; Viridiplantae; Streptophyta; Magnoliopsida; Poales; Poaceae
Description: long non-coding RNA (SBIC_LNC004783)
Source: RNAcentral
GAUCCUUACCAAGGCAGUGAUGGUAUAUGCCUUCUCUCAAAGUAUGUAGUAUUUGUGGUAUGAGGCAUAGUGCUAUUGCCUUCUCUCUCAUCCUACUCUAAUAAGGCUUUGAUAUCUGGAGCUCAUAGGUGGGAGAUAAAGUAUACAUACUUACAAGACAUUUUAUUGCAUAGUCAAACCAUGGAUCCAGAGAAACAAGUCAAUAUCAAGAUGUGCAUGUGUGGCGAAUGAAUGGUGUAUGGUGAAGAUGUACAUACCUUUCUUGCACUUUGAAGCUUUUUGAAGAGAAUGAGAUGCUCUAUAUUUUCUUUUUCUUUUCUCUCAGGUGGGUAUCUUAUACUCCUAAUUCUACUGUCGGACACUUGUCCAUUUUUACCUCUCGUCUCACUUUUUAUUUUCUUCGAGGUUCCAGACACUUGCCCCUUUUUAUUUCCUCGUAUUUUCCUUUUUUUCAGAGCACUCACCCUCUUAGAAUAAUGUAGCAAGUGGUAGUAACCAAAAUAUCUCGAGCAUUUAUUUCAUAGAGAAUAACAGGGAUAGGAUAAUGUUUUUGGCUAUUCUCUCUUGGAUAGGAGUAGAAUAAUUUUGGGUGAAUCUAGAGAUGGAAAUGAGUGGAUGUAUGUGGAUGCGUACUUCCAGAGUAGAAGCAGCAUAUAUGGGUGAACGUGCAAGUGAAUCUUAAUUUUAACCGCAUGACAAACUCCUUAGAGUCUACAUAGCUUGACCACACUCAAUGCUCAUAGGCAGUA